Molecule: non-coding RNA, 26 nt
Filed under: Rattus norvegicus (Norway rat)
Lineage: Eukaryota; Metazoa; Chordata; Mammalia; Rodentia; Muridae
Source: RNAcentral
CAUCGUGUCUCUGGGCAUCUUGUGGA